AUCUUGGACAAUGGGCGCAAGCCUGAUCCAGCCAUGCCGCGUGAGUGAUGAAGGCCUUAGGGUUGUAAAACUCUUUCGCCGAGGACGAUAAUGACGGUACUCGGAGAAGAAGCUCCGGCUAACUUCGUGCCAGCAGCCGCGGUAAUACGAAGGGGGCUAGCGUUGUUCGGAUUUACUGGGCGUAAAGCGCGUGUAGGCGGAUUUGUAAGUUGGGGGUGAAAUCCCGAGGCUCAACCUCGGAACUGCCUCCAAAACUACAAGUCUGGAGCAAGAUAGAGGCAAGUGGAAUUGCGAGUGUAGAGGUGAAAUUCGUAGAUAUUCGCAGGAACACCAGUGGCGAAGGCGACUUGCUGGAUCUUUGCUGACGCUGAGACGCGAAAGCGUGGGGAGCAAACAGG
RNAcentral lists this ribosomal RNA (398 nucleotides) under uncultured bacterium. Its description in RNAcentral is "bacterial SSU rRNA". It matches the Rfam family "Bacterial small subunit ribosomal RNA", at positions 361 to 776 of the family's 1533-position model. The record is from RNAcentral.